This 254-nucleotide ribosomal RNA is filed under the name uncultured bacterium. RNAcentral describes it as "partial 16S ribosomal RNA". It matches the Rfam family "Bacterial small subunit ribosomal RNA", at positions 524 to 776 of the family's 1533-position model. The record is from RNAcentral.
UACGAGGGGUGCAAGCGUUGCUCGGAAUUAUUGGGCGUAAAGGGUAGGUAGGUGGUCUCAUUUGUCCGGGGUGAAAGCCUUGAGCUUAACUCAAGAAGUGCCUCGGAAACGGUGAGACUAGAGUCUUGGAGAGGGUCGUGGAAUUCCUGGUGUAGCGGUGGAAUGCGCAGAUAUCAGGAGGAACACCGGUGGCGAAGGCGGGUCUCUGGGCAGUAACUGACGCUGGAGGAGCGAAAGCGUGGGGAGCGAACAGG